Molecule: transfer RNA, 85 nt
Filed under: Felis catus (domestic cat)
Lineage: Eukaryota; Metazoa; Chordata; Mammalia; Carnivora; Felidae
Rfam family: tRNA
About the family: Transfer RNA (tRNA) molecules are approximately 80 nucleotides in length. Their secondary structure includes four short double-helical elements and three loops (D, anti-codon, and T loops).
Source: Rfam by way of RNAcentral
GCCUGGGUGGCUCAGUUGGUUAAGUGUCUGACUUCGGUUCAGGUCAUGAUCUCGUGGUCUGUGGGUUCAAGCCCCACAUCGGGCU